CAUGCGUUGUUUUAGUAGGUUUAAAUUCUAAACCUUGUUUUAAAUUUAAAAACAACUCGCGUUCUUCUAAUAGCAACUAGUUUAGUGAACUAAAAACUUAUCAGAACUUGUUUAUUACAUUUGAAAAAUAAUAAAGUACAAUGGGUUACUGUUCAUAGCUAGUUCAACUGUUCCUGUUAGCAAUGAUUUAAAUAGUUAAACUUCAGAAUCUUAUGAAUCAUAACUUUUGAAUCAUAAACUAAUAGUUUAAAACCAAAAGGGAUUAAGUUUGGGAUUUACAACAAGCCUAAGCAAUUUAAUUUAAUGUAUUCCAACCAUAUUCGCUUUUCAACAAAGAAACUUACCUGUUGUAAAGAAGGGAAAAGUAAACUAAAGCAGAAAGACUUUUUCUUGGAACUCGAUAUAAAUAUUUUUUGUGU
Molecule: long non-coding RNA, 419 nt
Organism: Hydra vulgaris (swiftwater hydra)
Lineage: Eukaryota; Metazoa; Cnidaria; Hydrozoa; Anthoathecata; Hydridae
Source: RefSeq, a predicted model, not a curated record